This 513-nucleotide ribosomal RNA is filed under the name uncultured bacterium. RNAcentral describes it as "partial 16S ribosomal RNA". It matches the Rfam family "Bacterial small subunit ribosomal RNA", at positions 28 to 523 of the family's 1533-position model. The record is from RNAcentral.
GACGAACGCUGGCGGCAUGCCUAAUACAUGCAAGUCGAGCGAACAGAUGAAGUGCUUGCACUUCUGACGUUAGCGGCGAACGGGUGAGUAACACAUAAGGAAUCUACCUAUAAGCGGGGGAUAACAUUCGGAAACGGGUGCUAAUACAGCAUAAUAUCUUCUUCCGCAUGGAAGAAGAUUGAAAGACGGCUCUGCUGUCACUUAUAGAUGACCUUGCGGUGCAUUAGUUAGUUGGUGGGGUAACGGCCUACCAAGACGAUGAUGCAUAGCCGACCUGAGAGGGUGAUCGGCCACAUUGGUACUGAGACACGGCCCAAACUCCUACGGGAGGCAGCAGUAGGGAAUCUUCCGCAAUGGGCGAAAGCCUGACGGAGCAAUGCCGCGUGAGUGAAGAAGGCCUUCGGGUCGUAAAACUCUGUUAUAAGAGAAGAACAAAUUGUAGAGUAACUGCUACAGUCUUGACGGUAUCUUAUCAGAAAGCCACGGCUAACUACGUGCCAGCCGCCGCGGUAA